CCUCUUUCUCUUCACUCUCUCUCUCUCUCUCUCUCUCUCUCUCUCUCUCAGAGUCAGCUCCGGUCUCAACAUUUCUUCUCCUUUCCACGUCGUUUACUCCUCCUUCCCACGAUCUCUCUGUCAUGGCGGCAGCGGAUAUUGCACCCGGUCCCAACGACGGAGCUCCAGUCCUGAUCGAUGGCAAUGUCCUCGCCGCUAAGGCUCUCUCCCGGUUCGGCGUGGAUCGGAUGUUCGGCGUCGUGGGGAUCCCCGUCACUUCCCUCGCAAACCGGGCCGUCUCGCUCGGUAUCCGCUUCAUCGCCUUCCACAACGAGCAGUCCGCCGGUUACGCCGCCUCAGCGUACGGAUAUCUGACGGGCCGCCCUGGCGUCCUCCUCACUGUCUCCGGCCCCGGCUGCGUUCACGGGUUAGCCGGCCUCGCCAACGCCAUGGCCAACACUUGGCCAGUGGUGAUGAUCUCCGGCUCCUGCGACCAGAAGGACUUCGGUCGCGGCGACUUCCAGGAGCUCGAUCAGAUCGAGGCGGUGAAGCCGGUCUCGAAAUUCUCCGCCAAGGCCAGGACUAUAAACGAAAUUCCCAGAUGCGUCGCUCAGGUCCUCGAUCAUGCCGUGGCAGGUCGGCCUGGUGGGUGCUACCUGGACCUCCCGAGUGAUGUGCUACACCAGACCGUGACCGAAUCAGAAGCUGAAAGCCUCCUAGCAGAGGCCGAGAAGUGUCGAUUGAAGGAAGAGAUAACCAACGUGUUGAGCUCACAAAUUGAGGAGGCGGUUACUCUUCUCAGACAAGCUGAGCGGCCGCUGAUUGUGUUUGGGAAGGGAGCAGCCUACGCUCGAGCCGAGAAUGAGCUGAGGAAGCUCGUUGAGAGCACCGGAACUCCAUUCCUCCCAACUCCUAUGGGCAAGGGUUUAUUGCCCGAUACGCAUGAGCUGGCGGCAACUGCUUCCCGCUCCCUGGCUAUCGGCAAGUGUGACGUGGCUCUUGUUGUUGGGGCCCGUCUCAACUGGCUGCUCCACUUUGGGGAGCCGCCAAAGUGGUCGCCCGAUGUUAAGUUCAUCUCGGUGGACGUCUCCAAAGAGGAGAUUGAGCUGAGGAAGCCCUUUAUGGGCUUAGUAGGUGAUGCUAAACGAGUGUUGCAAGCGAUUAAUAAGGAGAUUAAGGAUGACCCCUUUUGUUUGGGGAAGAGUCACCCUUGGGUUGAGGCCAUCUCAAAGAAGGCAAAAGAGAACGUGUCGAGAAUGGAAGCUCAGUUGGCCAAGGAUGUUGUGCCCUUUAAUUUCUUGACACCAAUGAGGAUCAUAAGGGACGCUAUAUCUGGAGUAGGGAGUCCUGCCCCAAUAUUGGUUUCGGAAGGGGCGAACACUAUGGACAUUGGAAGAGCAGUUUUGGUUCAGACUGAACCUCGGACUAGGUUGGAUGCAGGCACCUGGGGUACGAUGGGAGUUGGGUUAGGGUACUGCAUUGCUGCUGCUGUGGCUUCUCCAGACAGGCUCGUGGUUGCAGUGGAAGGGGACUCGGGAUUUGGGUUCAGUGCGAUGGAAGUUGAGACUCUGGUGCGGUACCAGUUGCCAGUUGUGGUGAUUGUCUUCAACAAUGGUGGUGUAUAUGGUGGUGACAGGAGGAGUCCUGAGGAAAUUUCGGGGCCCUACAAGGAUGACCCAGCACCUACUUCUUUUGUACCUAAUGCUGGUUACCAUACUUUGAUUGAAGCCUUUGGUGGCAAAGGUUAUCUUGUUGGGACUCCUCAAGAAUUAAAAGAUGCUCUCUUAAAGUCCUUUGCUGCACGGAAACCGGCUGUCAUAAAUGUUAUUAUCGAUCCUUUUGCUGGUGCAGAGAGUGGGAGACUACAGCACAAGAACUGAUAUAGGGUACACCUGCUUUUUGUGUGUGGUGGAGCAAGAGAAGAACUGGGAGAUUGGUUCCAAUGCCUUAUAAGGGAUUAGGCAAUGGAGAUACAAGUUGCAUAUUAUAUCAGAUAAAUGGAGAAGAAAGCAGAGUCAUAGAGCAUCCCCCCACCCCAAUCGAUAAUAAGGCCUUAUUCUAUUUCUGCACUCUUAUCCGAUGGAACCUUUUGCCUCCACAUAUUGGGGCAAUUGCCAAUGGGCAUUUGUUCUUCCACCUGUCAUCACCCCCCAGCCUCCUUAUCCCAUUCCAAUUGUCUGGAUUCUUCAUUCUCCCAGUUUCUCGACUGAGAUCUUGCCACGACUGAGAUCUUGCCUUGCCUUGCCAUGCCAUGCCAUGUCAUGUACAAUCGCAUCAAAUUCACAUUCAUUUAGUUCGAAUCUAACUUAUUAUCUGCAUUUGUUUCUUGAAAGACUGCAUCUCAAGAAACUCUCAAGUCUAGAGAUUGUAAACAUUUUAGCUGGAAGAUAACCAUUCUAAAGUUACUUUCAUGCCCCAACACAAAUUUGUCUCUUCCCAAAUAUGUACAUGAGUUAGUCUUGCUUCUUGUUCAUUUCAUAUAUUUGACACUAUCAGACUAGCAGUUCCUUUAAACUAUCAUCCUAUCUGCCGAAGCAGCGCAGAAGAUUUCUCACACAGUUUGUGUCUGUCUAUCUAACUUCAAAGUUCUUAGUAAGUAGGUAGUCUGUGCUGGAGCAGUCAUGUGACAUGAGAAGGACAUGAAUAAACAUUGAAUUACUGUUUCUGUCAUUUUUGUAUUUGACUGCUAUGAACUCUCAUGCUAAUCUUAGAUUAGUUCAGGGUGGAUUUGGUACAUCUCCAUAUUGUUUUGCCUCCCCUUUUAGAAAAUUAUUAAUUCUAAAAAAGUUUAAUGCUUAGAAGUUGGUUGUAGAGGAUAGUGAAUGUGAGGGAGGGAGAGAGGGAGAGGAUGAGGGGUGACUUAUUACUAAUUUAGCCUAAACAAAUAAUGUCUGAGCAUAUUGAAACUAGUUUAAUAAGUCAUCUUGACUCGUUAAUAUAAACGAACUUUCACAAAUUAUCUCCUCCAAUUCUUUUUUUUCCCCCCCUCAUGAAAAGUGAUUUCGACUCAUAUUUAUUCUCCUAACAUAAUUUUUUUUUUUAACAAGGUGCUUGUUGGAUGAAAAACACUGAUCGUUGCGUGCUUCCCAUUGUCUCUCUCAUUGCUCUCUCCACACUCGUGAUUGAUUUCUCAAAGCAAUUUACCUUUUAUAUGAUAUGCAACUAUGCACUGGGAGGAUUACUCUAUUAUAUGAUAAAGACGGCUGAUGGUUGGACCUUUUUAAGUUGAUCAUGAGUGAACCAUGUUUGUUCUGAUCCUCAAUGCCGUUGAUUGCAGAAGUCCUAUGUUUCCAUGAACUUUGAAUUCUAUAUAUGUCCGUCCUGGAGAACAUGUAAGUCGAUGGUGUUCUAUCUUUUACUAAGACAGAACAGGUUGCAAAACAAGACAUAGCUGACUUAUUAAAAGAAGCCUCUAAUUUUAUGUCCAAAAUAAGGAAGAUGGAGGUUACAUGUGUCUGGGGUGGAAUAGUAAAAAUUACAUGGUAAAUAAAUACAAGCACCCACAGUUUGUGUGGCCACUGAAAUUUGUUUGAUCGCCAUGGACUUGAUCUUGGAGUCAGGUAUGAAGAUUGAAAUCUUGUCUUAUCGCUCUUGUAUUUUGUGAUGUCCUUAUAGUCAUGAACACAACAGCUGUUAGUCAUCAUUGGUUUCCAUAUCUUUGGGUUCUUACGAAUUCCUUCAUUGUGAGGUCUCCCUUCAUAUAUGGUGAAAUUGACUGUUUCCAGAAUUCUCUUUCUCUGCAAUUUCGCAAACUUGAGCUGAUCUCGUUGUUAUAAACCCUCUAUCGGUUUUAUAGACCAGAGUCAUGAAUACACGAGUGAGGAUUUUGCUGGUACACAAGAGAGACAAAAGGAGAUGUUACAUAGUUGCUGGAGAUAUUAUCCUUUUUUUUUAUGAAUAAUUGUAUUAUCCUUUCGUUUUAGGUAGUAUGGUAGUAAAGUUUUAAAAUCAUGGAUCCCAUUAUGUCCACUUUGCUUCU
This is a non-coding RNA of Punica granatum (pomegranate), 3958 nucleotides long. Lineage: Eukaryota; Viridiplantae; Streptophyta; Magnoliopsida; Myrtales; Lythraceae. The record is from RefSeq and is a predicted model, not a curated record.